GAUGAACGCUGGCGGCGUGCCUAAUACAUGCAAGUCGAGCGAACAGAUGAGGAGCUUGCUCCUCUGACGUUAGCGGCGGACGGGUGAGUAACACGUGGAUAACCUACCUAUAAGACUGGGAUAACUUCGGGAAACCGGAGCUAAUACCGGAUAAUAUAUUGAACCGCAUGGUUCAAUAGUGAAAGACGGUUUUGCUGUCACUUAUAGAUGGAUCCGCGCCGCAUUAGCUAGUUGGUAAGGUAACGGCUUACCAAGGCAACGAUGCGUAGCCGACCUGAGAGGGGGAUCGGCCACACUGGAACGGAGACACGGUCCAGACUCCUACGGGAGGCAGCAGUAGGGAAUCUUCCGCAAUGGGCGAAAGCCUGACGGAGCAACGCCGCGUGAGUGAUGAAGGUCUUCGGAUCGUAAAACUCUGUUAUUAGGGAAGAACAAAUGUGUAAGUAACUAUGCACGUCUUGACGGUACCUAAUCAGAAAGCCACGGCUAACUACGUG
Molecule: ribosomal RNA, 497 nt
Filed under: uncultured bacterium
Lineage: Bacteria
Description: partial 16S ribosomal RNA
Rfam family: Bacterial small subunit ribosomal RNA
Source: RNAcentral